AAAUAUUCCUGUACCGAUGUGUAGUGCGAUGUGGGGACGGAUCUUAAUAGGUCAUCCGGGUGUUGGAUAUCCCGGUUUAGUUGGAAGUAGGCGAUGGGUAGGCAAAUCCGCCCGUCAUAUACCGAGGCCAACGAUCGAGCCAGCUUGCUGGUGAAGUGACUGAACGAGGUUCUAGGAAAAGCCACUAAGCUUCAGCUAUACACGACCGUACCGCAAACCGACACUGGUGCGCGAGAUGAGUAUUCUAAGGCGCUUGAGAGAACUCAGGAGAAGGAACUCGGCAAAUUGACACCGUAACUUCGGAAGAAGGUGUGCCCUAUUAGUGUGAAGUGAACAACGGAGCAUGAAUGGGUUGCAAAAAAUCGGUGGCUGCGACUGUUUAUUAAAAACACAGCACUCUGCAAACACGAAAGUGGACGUAUAGGGUGUGACGCCUGCCCGGUGCUGGAAGAUUAAAUGAUGGGGUGCAAGCUCUUGAUUGAAGUCCCAGUAAACGGCGGCCGUAACAAUAACGGUCCUAAGGUAGCAAAAUUCCUUGUCGGGUAAGUUCCGACCUGCACGAAUGGCGUAACGAUGGCCACACUGUCUCCUCCUGAGACUCAGCGAAGUUGAAAUGUUUGUGAUGAUGCAAUCUCCCCGCGGAAAGACGGAAAGACCCCAUGAACCUUUACCGUAGCUUUGUAUUGGACUUUGAACAGAUCUGUGUAGGAUAGGUGGGAGGCUUUGAAGCAGGGUCGCUAGAUCUUGUGGAGCCAACGUUGAAAUACCACCCUGGUGUGUUUGAGGUUCUAACCUAGGUCCAUCAUCUGGAUCGGGGACAGUGCAUGGUAGGCAGUUUGACUGGGGCGGUCUCCUCCCAAAGCGUAACGGAGGAGUUCGAAGGUACGCUAGUUACGGUCGGGCAUCGUGACGAUAGUGCAAUGGCAUAAGCGUGCCUAACUGCGAGACUGACAAGUCGAGCAGAUGCGAAAGCAGGACAUAGUGAUCCGGUGGUUCUGUAUGGAAGGGCCAUCGCUCAACGGAUAAAAGGUACUCUGGGGAUAACAGGCUGAUACCGCCCAAGAGUUCAUAUCGACGGCGGUGUUUGGCACCUCGAUGUCGGCUCAUCUCAUCCUGGGGCUGUAGCCGGUCCCAAGGGUAUGGCUGUUCGCCAUUUAAAGAGGUACGUGAGCUGGGUUUAAAACGUCGUGAGGCAGUUUGGUCCCUAUCUUCCGUGGGCGCUGCAGAUUUGAGGAAGCCUGCUCCUAGUACGAGAGGACCGGAGUGGACACACCUCUGGUGUAUCGGUUGUCACGCCAGUGGCAUUGCCGAGUAGCUAAGUGUGGAAGAGAUAACCGCUGAAAGCAUCUAAGCGGGAAACUCGUUUCAAGAUGAGAUCUGCCGGGGCCUUGAGCCCCCUGAAGAGUCGUUCAAGACCAGGACGUUGAUAGGUCAGGUGUGGAAGCGCAGUAAUGCGUUAAGCUAACUGAUACUAAUUGCUCGUGCGGCUUGACCU
Molecule: ribosomal RNA, 1495 nt
Filed under: metagenome
Description: bacterial LSU rRNA
Rfam family: Bacterial large subunit ribosomal RNA
Source: RNAcentral